GUCCACGCCCUAAACGAUGAUGACUAGUUGUUGGAGGAGUUAAAUCCUUUAGUAACGCAGCUAACGCGAGAAGUCAUCCGCCUGUGGAGUACGGUCGCAAGAUUAAAACUCAAAGGAAUUGACGGGGGCCCGCACAAGCGGUGGAUGAUGUGGUUUAAUUCUACGCAACGCGAAAACCUUACCUACCCUUGACAUGUACGGAGCCUCAUAGAGAUGUGAGGGUGCCCGAAAGGGAGCCGUAACACAGGUGCUGCAUGGCUGUCGU
RNAcentral lists this ribosomal RNA (265 nucleotides) under uncultured bacterium. RNAcentral's name for it is "partial 16S ribosomal RNA". It matches the Rfam family "Bacterial small subunit ribosomal RNA", at positions 793 to 1055 of the family's 1533-position model. The record is from RNAcentral.